CGAGGCCGCGUCAGAACCGAGGGCUGCAAGCGCACUGGGCACCGCCUCCCCGCCGGUGGAGGGCUGCGGCGUCGCGUGCCAGUUGAUGGCCACCGCCGCCUCGCAGUAUGCAUGUGAGAAACACGCGGCCAGCCACAUGUGCCGGUGCCGACGACCUUGCCAGGGUCAAUGGUCGCGCUGCACCGGAGGGCGCCGUGCAUCACCGAGCCCACUGGAGUGCGCUGUGUCCAAAUCCGCUGAUGCGCGGUGAUCGCCGGCCGAAGGUUUCGACCAUCAGGGGCUGGAAUCGAUGCCAUGCCCAUACCUGCCAAAGUCGUCCCCGGUAUUUAUGCCAUCUCCGUUGAAGAAUUCUCCCGAUUCUUGCAUGGGGUAGCAAUCGGUGUCUCAAUGUCCUCAUCUCCAUGAAUUCAUUCGCGAUCCGGAACGGACGAUUCAUAUGUGCAUAAGAUGAACAGAAGACACGUGAUUAGAUCUAUGAUAAUCUAACAUAUAAAGCCUCCUACGUUACCCGCCGUUCUAGCGCACUUGCAUCGCGCGAUGGAUCCGGUUCACACGAUUCACCUCGCUGUCAAAAUUCUGCUCCUUUUUACCUCUUUCUCAAAGAUCUGGCCGUAGGUUUUACUUUACAUUGUGGCUUCAAGUUUCAGUGCAUGACGACUGGGCCAUCGUUGCACACGGGCCCAACAUUUCAGUCACGGCGCGCGUGUAUGUGAGUUGUGCCACGACGGUGGGAGAACCCGAGAGCGAGGUGAAAACCUAGCCCCCAAUCCCCUUCCUGCCUCGAGCCCCACGCCCCACCCAUUCUCCUCUCCCCUCUUCCGCCGCCCCUCCCUGCCUGGUAGCCCGUGGUCGCCGCCGCAGCCUCCCUUCCACCUCGCCUUCCUUCUCUUCCCCGUCCACUCGCCAUCAACGACACCAUGGAAGGACAGGGAAAGGAGAAAGGGAUCCCGUCGGUGAAGGGAAGGAGAAAGGGAGCCCGGGGAGGAGCUCGAGCCGAGGAGAGCGGCCUCGAUCCAGACUCAGCAGGAGCAGAGGAGCAGCAACCGCGCGAGCCGGCGCGCACCUCGUCGCAAAUCGUGCAGCAAGCUGAAGACGCGGCAAGAGCGGUGGUCUUGACGGCGACGGCGGCCGGGAGAUAGAAGAUGAGGAAGAGUGAAGGAAGGGGAGGAGGGACAAAGAGAGGACAGAGGAGAGGGAGGUGCAGCGGCCUGAGAAGAAUACUGCAGGGAAAGAGGAGGAGGUCAAUCGUGUCCCUGGGGUGCCAAGCAGAUCCCCACCAGGGGUGGACUGGCACUUGGAGCCGCCGCCGCCGCCAUUCCGCCUCCCUCCUCUCUGUCCGACGACCACGCAACCCGGAGGAAGCCGCCGCCCAAGAAGGUCCGGGGACGCCCGUUGGCGAGCUUCAACCACCCACAUCGGGGCAGAGGGAGCCGCACGCGUGGCCAGCAAGUGGACCGACGGGAAAGACGCGCGCCGCGGGCUCGAUAGGGAGAAGAGAUGAAGGGGGCGCGUGUGGGCGGCUGGCUGACGGGGAAACCAUCGCGUCUCUACCGCGUCUACGAACUGCAGAGCAGGCAUGUCUUCAUGGUGCUUGCGGAGGGGCAGGGCCCCUGAGGAAAAGUGGUGGUUGGGGAGGAGGACGCCCUUGUCCUUGGUGUCCGGGCCGCCAUGGCUGACGCCGGAGCCGUUGGUUGGCCUUGAGGUCAUCCGUCGUUGGCAUCCUCGUCAUCCAUCCAACCACCAGGGAGGAGAUUCCUGAGGCAUUUGAUUCUUGUGGGAUCCCAACACAUCUUGCAAGAUCAACAACAAGUGGCUGGGCCUCUACAUUAUUCAGAAAAGCUAUUUUUAUCUUUCAUUUAUUUGUCUAAUUUAUGUGCCCGUGUAUUCGCCUCCGUUCCGCUCUUGUUGAAGUUCCAACGAAUUUCUGUGCUACCUAAGAGGUACUAAUGCUCAUAUAUUACAAUUUGGUACCCACGACCUUCAGUCACGGGAUCUUGAGAAAAGCAGUUUAGGCAUUUUGUUUGUGUCAACUAUACAGAAUCCCUGCGGUUCGAUUUUUGGUUUGUAGGCAACCAACACAAUAUGCAGGCAAAUAGAGAUGAGGUUUUGCUGUAGUAGGCAAAUAUUCAUUGUCCAUUUUAUGUGUUUGUAGGCAACUGAAGUACUCAACCUGUAUAUAUCCAUUAAUUCAUGUACAAGCCAAUCUUUUUUGGCAUAUCCGUUGCAUGAUCAACCUAUGUAUGUUUGUAAUUUUGCCUUACUAAGCUGCUAUACAUAUACUCAGUUUGUCUUUACUAAGCUGCUAUACAUACACUCAAUCUUGUGGUGAUUACAGCUUUGAGCUUGCAACUGAACCUUAAGACUACUAAUUACUUUUGUGGAUGGUUAAACCUGAAAUCUGAAACAAAAUCUGGUAGCAGUCUUGCCCCCCUCAGCAAAAAAAUAUGCAUUGAGGUCAGCUAUCUUCAACGUCCCUUUUUUCGUUUCAGUAAUGCAUGACCAUAGCGUGACAUGAAGUUCUAUCUUGAUCCUUGCCAUGCUACUGCUUUGUUGAACCAUCUCAAGGCGUAUGGACCUGGUUCUUUUUAAGCACAAUUUUCUUUUAUUGUCUUUACAUGUUCAUUUAAUUCGUUUAUGUUUCCUUUUCCGUUGCGGUGGUGGAUGAUAUAUUCUCUGCCAUGAAUGGAUGUUUUUGGCGUUGUGAGAUGGCGUAGGUAACUGAUGAGCUAUGUUUUUAAGGCAGUAAGGCGAGGCAAGGCGCUGGGGGGGGCGCCUCACCGCCUAAGCGGUAAGGCAUAAGGCAAGGCGGACGCCUUAGAGAGUUCUGACCAGUAGAAUGAAGUAGAACUUGGUAGGCAACUAGGCAUACACACUACACAUCUUGCACUUGCUGCUGGUUGUAGAGUCCAUAUAGCUCACCUCUGUGCAGUCUGUAUGCUAAUGAGGAGAACGUCCCUCUAUUACUUUUGGGUGUUGGGUUCUGUUUAGUGAAAUUUUGAAAAUAGUUGGCCUGGUAAAACACCACUGUUUGCCCUGUGGGUCAAUAGGGACUUGACAAACAAAAAAUGCAUCACUUUCCAUUUAAUGGCCUAAAAACACUGGCAUGUUUGGAUGAAAUUUUCAUCUAUAUGUAUAAGCCGUGGGCUAUUCCAAGAAGAGGGUGACUAUGCAUCAGUUGUACAAUCAUGUGUCCAUCUGCUGCUUUUUUGAAUCGUAUAAAAUCUAGAGCUACCUUACAAAACUAUUCUGUUUACUAUGGAGUAAAAUCUAGAGCUAGCUUAUAAUACUGCUUGAAAAUAGCUUUGGCUCUUCACACCUGGGAGUAAUAUGACAGUUUGCGUUCCUAUUUUUGUUUUCUCUGUAUAUAUAUACAGUUUUCAUAUUCUAUUUGUUUGCUCCUGAAGCUUAUGUUUUCCUUUUUCAGAAUUGAGUGUGUAUGAACAAAGCAAUAGAGGUUGUGUUAAUUCCUAGAGCCUAAUAUGUUCUUUUGUCUCCUGGUGAUUAGUUCGAAUGGCCGUGUGAGGUAAUAGAGCUUUCUAUCGUUGCUUCCUCAUCCUUCUCCGCCCUGCAUUCUCACAUUUUUUAAUGAAAAAAUAACCCUGCAUUCUCACUUUGUUAAUGAAAAUAAAUAAAGGGAUUACAAGCACUGCUCUGUGCAAGAAAUGGGUGUAUGUGUUCUAAUUUAGUUGCUUGGCCUGCCAGCCUAUCUUCCCUGGAUGCUUACUUUCUUACAUGUUGCACGUCAUGUUACAGUUUCGCCGGCCUGUCUCGGCUCAUGUUAGGCACCAUGUCUCGGCUCAUGUCACGGUGACAUGGUGUCUAUAGCCUGUUGGGGCGCCUGCGGAUCCCUGACAAAAUCCAUGUAUUUAACCGUGGCAUGUUUGGCAGCUGCAGCCGCGUGGCAAUUAAUUAAUUCUCAUUCAACGUAAUUUACUUCUCCCCCUUUAUGUAUCAUGGAUGGAUAUACAUGGUGGUUGGCUGUUAUUAUCGAAGCAAGAGUUACUGAUGAUGACUACAUUUGAGCUGGUUUGCUGCUUACAAAUCGGUAGAGUGAUUUAUCUUGCUAAUGCAUAUAUAGUUAUGAAUGCAGCUGUUUCGCAUCUAGAGAUUGUAUGGCAGCUGCCUCAUAUUUGUACAGUAGACCUGAUCUCCUAAUAGUAUUUUGUGAUGCACAUAUUUUUAUUUCUUUUGAUUUUGCGUUGGUUGUUAUUUAUGCUUAUAGCUUCAUGUCUGGGAUUCUAUUUCAGGGCACUGUUUUAGUUGUUAGUUCAGGUGCUUUUGAUUUUCUGAAUGUAUCUAGGUAAUGUCGAAGAUGCUCUCCUCUUAUUUUUCAGACAUUUACUUUGCUUAUUUUGCUUCUCCUUAGCCUCUUAUUAGUGCCAAUCUUCUUUUAAAUAGCAGGGACAUUCUUUUACUUUUAGGAGGGCAUAUUUUUCCUGGGCCCUGAUGGGUCUUUUCAUAUAUUUCAGAUAUCAGUGGUCCAUGUCACAAUAAACAAGUGAUUCGUACUUAAACAUGACAUGGGGAACCUUGGAUACACCAUUCAGGACAGGGAUAUACUCGAUCUGAGAGAACAUGGGCUUCUUGCCUCCGUCUUUUGUACCCAGUUUACUAGAUAUUAGAUAACAGUGGGUAUUUAAAAAAAAUUGUUACAGAAGUGCCUUGAAUAUAUUCAGCAUAAAUGGGAUGACCAGGACAUAUGUGAAUCGGAUUUCUUAUUAACUAUACUUGGAAAACGAUGAUGUGAUGAAGAUAUGUCUGCACAUGAAUACGACGGUUAUAUAGAUUUCAGUUGUGCUCUUAAGCAUAAUUCUGCAUCUACUACUAUCGUCACUGCUGUCUAUAUUCCAUUUUUAGAUUCGAAAAUGAUUCCGAUGAUUCUUGUCUGCCUUGGGCAACCUUUCCAUUUCAGUCUCAUGUAGGAUUUUGGUCCCCGUGAUCUUCCUUGCAUAGAUGACCUACUCCCAAUCCUCCUUACCUCCCCUCUGACUCCUUUAUGUCUCAGUGGUUGCCCAGGCUUUCGUUCAAAUUUGGCAUGAUUUUUUGGUACACAUUACCCAACCAACGCCCUCCCUUUCAAAGGAAAAUGAUGAUUUUUUGUACUUAAGUGUGUUGUGUGCUGUCUGUGGCACUGUGUUGGAUUUUUAGAGAAAAUAUCAUUGUUGCUUCACUGCUAUAUGUGGUUUGAGUUGAUGCUCUGUUCAGAAAGAAACAAGUUUAGAAUAGGUAAAUUUUAGUUAACCCCAUUGUUUUGCUUUAGGCUAUCCUUUGUAUUUUCCUUGUCAUGUUUCGUGCUUCAUAGCAUGUGUAUGGAAGCAUAUAAAUACAGCAAUAUAAACUGCAGUUGUAGUAUCACAUUUUUCUAUCAUAAAUGUGUAGAAAUUUGAGAGCUUAACAGGAGAAUAGAAUCAAGGAGAAGAAUGAAUGCUUAGUUCUAUGCGUAUGCAUGUAGAAGCAUCUCCUUGAUCAUUGAUCACGGCAACUAGGAAUCCAUCAUACAUCUAUACUAUCUGCACAAGCACACAUAAUUCGGUUUAAACUAUUUAUGGUUUCUGAGAACACCAAUAGCUAGCUAAUAUAUCUACUUGUUGAGUUAAUGGGGUGACCCGCAUGUCCAUCUCUGAAAAAUACAGUAAAUACCUAUCCUGAAGUUAAAACUUAUGUAUCAUUUUACCCUAUUACCGGUAAACACCUAUCUUAAUAAGCGCGUAGUUUAGAAAUGAACUUCACGGAUAAUUGUUCAUGUUGUUUGAAUCAUAAUUGAAUGAGGUGUGGUUAUUCUUAAUUUUAACUGAGUGGUACGACUGCAAAUUAACGGUAAGCUGUCGGUAAACGCCCUCUUUUUGGUAACUUGAUAGUGCUCAUUGGUUUUAUUGCUAUAUGCUGACAUUAUAAUUCUCUGUUGACCUGCUCAUGCAAAUCCUACCUUUCCGGUCAGGUCACUACUACAUGUUGGUUGACUGAUCCUAUCCCAAGAUCGGUCCCCUCCUGAGCCAUUUGAUCACCAAAUGCGCACGCAAACGCCUCCCUCCCAUCCCCAUCUUCCGCAGCGCUCGCACGCUGCUGCAUGGUGCGCUCCCUGAGCCACCCUUGUCGGCCACACACAACCUUACGACCAAAUUUUUGUACCAUUACUAUAUUACAGGUGUUCUCUAUUCUCAGCAUUCUCUGUUAGUUUUCUAUCUCUGGUCUUAUAGUUAUAUUCUUUAGAAUAUCGCCAAGUCAUGGCUGUAAUCGAACAUAUAAAUCACGCUUCAUUUAGAGUCAACAAAAGAAUGGAGUAACAGGGCAUGGGCUUCGUUUAGAGUCAACAAAAGAAAAGUUUUUUUCAGAGUAAUUUUCAGUUCACUGUUUGCUUCGACUUUUGUGACUUAUGAUGUUUGGAUCAAGGAUUUCAAGAUUUCCUGUUUUUAUUAUUGAUGAUGGAAGAUGGAUCAGAUUUAUGCCUGUUCUAAACCAUUUAUUCUCUGUUUGGGCUGUAAUUUCUAAGUUAGCUUUCUUAGUAAAGAACUUAAUAAAGCUUUGUUGCUGCGAACUAUUUUAUCUUUUCUUGGAUAAGAUUAUAUUCUUUAGCUCAUGAGCUGACCUAUUUGUGAUUUGUACCUCAGUUCACGGGAUAUCUCAUAACUGAAACCAUGAACAACAAGUGCUUCGGUUCUGGUGUUGGCGAUCCAUUGCUUGAGGCGACAUCGUGUGCAAGAUUAUUCUUGUGGAGGCCACUGGCAUGGUGGCACCCUCCUGGGCCUGCUGAUCCCAUUACCCAGGUUGCCUGUUGCGCCUAAAGGUUGGAUAUACGGUGAUAUGGUAAUGCCGAUUUGGGAAAGCAGGUGUACAGUGUGUGUAAAUUAAGAAAACAAUUUAUAAUCUGUUAUGUGAUCACUGCAUUUUAAUUUAGUAUAUGCGAUCCCCUCAAGUAGGGAAGUAUUGAAUGCACCUCUCUGGCAAGUGCACGCAUAUUGUUAGCAAAGUUUAAAUUGAUUACCCCUGGGACGA
Molecule: RNA transcript, 6993 nt
Organism: Triticum aestivum (bread wheat)
Lineage: Eukaryota; Viridiplantae; Streptophyta; Magnoliopsida; Poales; Poaceae
Exons: 5
Source: RefSeq, a predicted model, not a curated record